AGGUGUGCUAGGGAAUAAAUGAAAUGCCUGGGACAUCAUCGUUAAGUGGCAUCUGAUGCAUAAGCAGUGCCCUAGGAACGGGGUUGCCUGCCUUGGUCUCUAAAGGAUGGGUUCAAAAGGCAAGAGCAGCACACAAGAAGAUAGCUUCAAGCAGGAGAAAAAGCUUGGCCCAGGGCCCAAAGGGGAUACGACCCUUCAGCAAACUGACAUGCUGAAAGCUGCCCUAUGGAGAGGCUCAUGUGGCAAGGAACAUGGGGGUGGCUUCUGGCCAACACCCAGUGAGGAACUCAGGCCCUCAGUCAAACAGCCUGCAAGGAACUGAACCCUGCCAAUAACCCAGCUGGGUUGAAAGCUUCCCUUUGGAGAAGAACUGAGGGCUGUCUCUGGUCAAUAGCACUGAGGAACUGAAUCCAGCAAACAAUUAUGUGAAGAAACUUGGAAGCUUGUCCUCCCCUCUAGUUGAGCUUUGAGAUGACUGCCACCCUAGCGGACACCUUGAUU
RNAcentral lists this non-coding RNA (501 nucleotides) under Pan troglodytes (chimpanzee). The record is from RNAcentral. Lineage: Eukaryota; Metazoa; Chordata; Mammalia; Primates; Hominidae.